This is a long non-coding RNA of Daktulosphaira vitifoliae (grape phylloxera), 771 nucleotides long. RefSeq lists it as uncharacterized. The record is from RefSeq and is a predicted model, not a curated record. The transcript has 2 exons. Lineage: Eukaryota; Metazoa; Arthropoda; Insecta; Hemiptera; Phylloxeridae.
AGUUACCCUAAACGCGAUAAGACGAUGGAGUUAAAAAAUAAUAAAUAAUAACACAUAUAAAUAUAAAUUAUACAUACAUAUGUGUAGCCUAUGGUAAGUACACAUGUACGCACGGAUUUAAUUAAAAAUAACAACAAAACGCCACGCCUGGUCUGUCGGUACGUUCGAUAAGUCGGUUUAUUCGGGCUCAGUUUCGCCGAGUUGUUAUUAGCGUCAGUCUACUUUCGUGCAUGCGAUAUAAUAGCCGAUAGAAUAAGUGUCUUGUAAAUUAAUUGUAAUUAUGUGGUUUCUGGUGUCUGUAUAGCUAAUGAUAAUGAAUCCGUUUUCACUGUGAUUAAUUUGUAAUUCGAAGUGGUGUACGACUUAAAAUAAUUCGUUGUAUGGGUGGUGAGUUUCGUGAUGUGGUACAGCCGCUUCAAAUGAUGACUGACUAGAGGACAUUUCCUUAAAAGGGCAUUAUAUUGUCCAGACUACUUUUUUAAGAUUAUGUCAAGUCGAAUCUCACCGAUUUCCUGAAUCACUAAGAAAAUCACUUAAGUACUAUAUGUAUAGUUGUUUACAUUUUUUCGUGGAUGUUCUUUUGAAAUACCAAUACUGUACCAAAUUUCACUGCUGUAAUAAGAUGUGGUCUAGUAAAUGGUACUUAUAAGAGCUAGCAACUCAUUGCUGGCAGGGUUUGUGCAAGAUAGUAUGGAUAAUGGUGGAGGAGCUAAACAAGCUGAUAGUUGGCACAAACAUGAACAAUUUAUGAUGGUUGAAAAACAAAAAACU